ACGCUGGCGGCAGGCCUAACACAUGCAAGUCGAGCGGUAGAGAGAAGCUUGCUUCUCUUGAGAGCGGCGGACGGGUGAGUAAUGCCUAGGAAUCUGCCUGGUAGUGGGGGAUAACGUUCGGAAACGGACGCUAAUACCGCAUACGUCCUACGGGAGAAAGCAGGGGACCUUCGGGCCUUGCGCUAUCAGAUGAGCCUAGGUCGGAUUAGCUAGUUGGUGGGGUAAUGGCUCACCAAGGCGACGAUCCGUAACUGGUCUGAGAGGAUGAUCAGUCACACUGGAACUGAGACACGGUCCAGACUCCUACGGGAGGCAGCAGUGGGGAAUAUUGGACAAUGGGCGAAAGCCUGAUCCAGCCAUGCCGCGUGUGUGAAGAAGGUCUUCGGAUUGUAAAGCACUUUAAGUUGGGAGGAAGGGCAGUUACCUAAUACGUGAUUGUUUUGACGUUACCGACAGAAUAAGCACCGGCUAACUCUGUGCCAGCAGCCGCGGUAAUACAGAGGGUGCAAGCGUUAAUCGGAAUUACUGGGCGUAAAGCGCGCGUAGGUGGUUUGUUAAGUUGGAUGUGAAAUCCCCGGGCUCAACCUGGGAACUGCAUUCAAAACUGACUGACUAGAGUAUGGUAGAGGGUGGUGGAAUUUCCUGUGUAGCGGUGAAAUGCGUAGAUAUAGGAAGGAACACCAGUGGCGAAGGCGACCACCUGGACUGAUACUGACACUGAGGUGCGAAAGCGUGGGGAGCAAAC
This 745-nucleotide ribosomal RNA is filed under the name uncultured bacterium. RNAcentral describes it as "bacterial SSU rRNA". It matches the Rfam family "Bacterial small subunit ribosomal RNA", at positions 33 to 773 of the family's 1533-position model. The record is from RNAcentral.